Molecule: ribosomal RNA, 450 nt
Filed under: uncultured bacterium
Lineage: Bacteria
Description: bacterial SSU rRNA
Rfam family: Bacterial small subunit ribosomal RNA
Source: RNAcentral
UAGGGAAUAUUGCACAAUGGAGGAAACUCUGAUGCAGCGACGCCGCGUGAGUGAUGAAGGCCUUCGGGUCGUAAAGCUCUGUCGUAUGGGACUAACACAAUGAAGGUACCAUGCAAGAAAGGAUCGGCUAACUUCGUGCCAGCAGCCGCGGUAAGACGAGGGAUCCUAGCGUUGUUCGGAAUUAUUGGGCGUAAAGCGGGUGUAGGCGGACUUAUAAGUCAGGUGUGAAAUCCCAGGGCUCAACCCUGGAAGUGCAUUUGAUACUGCAAGUCUUGAGUGUGGUAGAGGCUAUUAGAAUUCCUGGUGUAGUGGUGAAAUACGUAGAUAUCAGGAGGAAUACCGGAGGCGAAGGCGGAUAGCUGGGCCAACACUGACGCUGAGACCCGAAAGCGUGGGGAUCAAACAGGAUUAGAUACCCAGGUAUUCCCUGAGCGGGCUGGCAAGGCGCAU